UACGGAGGAUGCGAGCGUUAUCCGGAUUUAUUGGGUUUAAAGGGUGCGCAGGCGGAGGUGCAAGUCAGCGGUCAAAUUGCGGUGCUCAACGCCGUAGAGCCGUUGAAACUGGGGUUCUUGAGUGAGCGAGAAGUAUGCGGAAUGCGUGGUGUAGCGGUGAAAUGCAUAGAUAUCACGCAGAACCCCGAUUGCGAAGGCAGCAUACCGGCGCUCAACUGACGCUGAGGCACGAAAGUGCGGGUAUCGAACAGG
This 252-nucleotide ribosomal RNA is filed under the name uncultured Bacteroidales bacterium. RNAcentral's name for it is "partial 16S ribosomal RNA". It matches the Rfam family "Bacterial small subunit ribosomal RNA", at positions 524 to 776 of the family's 1533-position model. Lineage: Bacteria; Pseudomonadati; Bacteroidota; Bacteroidia; Bacteroidales. The record is from RNAcentral.